This is a long non-coding RNA of Oreochromis aureus, 577 nucleotides long. RefSeq lists it as uncharacterized. The record is from RefSeq and is a predicted model, not a curated record. The transcript is spliced from 3 exons. Lineage: Eukaryota; Metazoa; Chordata; Actinopteri; Cichliformes; Cichlidae.
GCCCUUUGCCACACCUUUUGCUAACCAGGAAGGAGAAGCCAGACCCACCAGAAAAGUGGUGGAGUUUAAGGGAGGCGUGGAAGGAGCAUGCAAAAGAGGAAGCGGGGGAGGAGGGGGAGUGGAUGGAUGGAUGAAGGUUGGCUGGAGCUGUCAGUCUCAUCUCUCUCCUGUCUCUCCUCAUCCAUUCUCACCAUGCUGACAGCAGUCUUCCAAGCAGAACACCGCCUGCCUGCAAGCGACUGCAUUCUGAGCAAAAGGAUGGAUUAUUCACCUGUGCCACUUCCUUCCUUCCAUGAAUCCAGUCCCACAUGCACAGAAAGCAUCCCAGGAUCAACAGCUCUCACUACCUGCCUAUUUGCCUGCCCCCCUGGAACCCGCCAGCCUUUCACCAGCCGCCUCUCCCACUUUCCCAAGUAAAUCAGAACAUUUUCUCUGACAGUCUUCCUUACACUUGCACCGCUCUCCUCUCUCCUAGUGGACCUAUCUAAAGACCACAGCUUAAACAGUCCCCAUCACUCUAGUGAACAAAUCCUGCCCGGUCUUCCUUUCAAGUUAAAUAAAGACUUUAAAACUGCUA